CUGAGUGCGAGCAUCGCGAGAGUUGGAAACUGGAGGCGAGAUUCAACAUGGCGGUGCCCUGUUACUGAGAGAAGACAGCAAAUACGUAAAACUAAUAGCUCAAAAUAAGAAAUUAAAAAGACAUUCUGAUUCAGUCUGCAUUAUUCAUCCAUCUGCAACCACCAACCCGGAACAACACAUCACCACAGAGGAGGAAUAACCGAGCUCGAAGCAUUCAUCCACCUGUCACAGCCUGCAGACCAGCGUGGACCUGGACUCAGCCAACCCAAACAAACGACCGACAGCAGACUCUUCAACGGACACCGAUGAUCUACAAACCACUGACAUCGAGGAGUGGAGCACGACGGCCCUGAGCACGUUCAGGAGGAGCAGGAGGCCGUCUGUGCAAUGAGCUUGAUCUUGUGGAUGGAGAACAUUGGGUGGAUGGAGGAGAUCAUGUGGAUAACUGAGAAGCUGGAAAUGGAGCUGAUGCAGGAGCCAUAUGCUUAACUACAUCAGCUAUUCUACCGAGGCGGCGCAUUAACACUUCCAGGCAGUUCAGGCGUCUGUUGAGGCUUGAGAUUCCCAGCUUCAGGCCACCUAGCUCCCUCUCCGGCAUCCGAAAACCAGCCUGCUGGAUUUCAAGAAAAGGAUGGUCCCCCCCGUCCGGAUGAGGCCUCAUUGCGCCCUGGUUCCUCUCAGCUGUCCUCUGGGCUGACCUCUGAACUCUCCUGUGGGUCUCGACGUCUCCUCCUCCAUUAUUUCUCCCUCCACCACUCCCCCCUGUUUCUGCAUACUGGUUCCAGCCUCUGUUUGUUGUUUCAUGUUAAACUUAAUAAAAAGUUGCUUCACUAAA
This is a non-coding RNA of Plectropomus leopardus (leopard coralgrouper), 835 nucleotides long. The record is from RefSeq and is a predicted model, not a curated record. NCBI's taxonomy places the organism in Eukaryota, Metazoa, Chordata, Actinopteri, Perciformes, Serranidae.